GGAUGAACGCUAGCGACAGGCCUAACACAUGCAAGUCGAGGGGCAGCACAUGAGUAGCAAUACGAUGGUGGCGACCGGCGCACGGGUGAGUAACACGUAUGCAACCUGCCUGUAAGAGGGGAAUAACCCAGAGAAAUUCGGACUAAUACCGCAUAAUACCACGAGACUGCAUGGUUUUGUGGUUAAACAUUUAUGGCUUACAGAUGGGCAUGCGUAUGAUUAGAUAGUUGGUAGGGUAACGGCCUACCAAGUCUACGAUCAUUAGGGGUUCUGAGAGGAAGGUCCCCCACACUGGUACUGAGACACGGACCAGACUCCUACGGGAGGCAGCAGUGAGGAAUAUUGGUCAAUGGGCGAGAGCCUGAACCAGCCAAGUCGCGUGAAGGAAGAAGGUUCUAUGGAUUGUAAACUUCUUUUGCAGGGGAAUAAAGGACGGUACGUGUACUGUUUUGUAUGUACCUUGCGAAUAAGGAUCGGCUAACUCCGUGCCAGCAGCCGCGGUAAUACGGAGGAUCCGAGCGUUAUCCGGAUUUAUUGGGUUUAAAGGGUGCGUAGGCGGCCGAGUAAGUCAGCGGUGAAAUUUUGCAGCUUAACUGUAACAGUGCCGUUGAUACUGCAUGGCUAGGAUUUGGUUGCUGUGGGUGGAAUGUGUGGUGUAGCGGUGAAAUGCUUAGAUAUCACACAGAAUAUCAAUUGCGAAGGCAGCUCACAAAGCCAAGAUUGACGCUGAGGCACGAAAGUGUGGGGAUCAAACAGGAUUAGAUACCCUGGUAGUCCACACUGUAAACGAUGAUAACUCACUGCCGGCGAUACACAGUCGGUGGCCAAGCGAAAGCGAUAAGUUAUCCACCUGGGGAGUACGACCGCAAGGUUGAAACUCAAAGGAAUUGACGGGGGCCCGCACAAGCGGAGGAACAUGUGGUUUAAUUCGAUGAUACGCGAGGAACCUUACCCGGGCUCGAACGGUGCAUGAAUAAGCAAGAGAUUGUUUAGUCCUUCGGGACAUGUAUCGAGGUGCUGCAUGGUUGUCGUCAGCUCGUGCCGUGAGGUGUCGGCUUAAGUGCCAUAACGAGCGCAACCCUUGUUGUUAGUUACCAACAGGUAAAGCUGGGGACUCUAACGAGACUGCCACCGUAAGGUGUGAGGAAGGGGGGGAUGACGUCAAAUCAGCACGGCCCUUAUGUCCGGGGCGACACACGUGUUACAAUGGGGGGUACAGAGGGCAGCCAUCCGGUGACGGAGCGCCAAUCUCCAAAACCCUUCUCAGUUCGGAUUGGAGUCUGCAACCCGACUCCAUGAAGUUGGAUUCGCUAGUAAUCGCGCAUUAGCCAUGGCGCGGUGAAUACGUUCCCGGGCCU
This 1358-nucleotide ribosomal RNA is filed under the name uncultured bacterium. RNAcentral describes it as "bacterial SSU rRNA". It matches the Rfam family "Bacterial small subunit ribosomal RNA", at positions 27 to 1381 of the family's 1533-position model. The record is from RNAcentral.